This 278-nucleotide unclassified non-coding RNA is filed under the name air metagenome. RNAcentral describes it as "partial contains small subunit ribosomal RNA, internal transcribed spacer 1, and 5.8S ribosomal RNA". The stretch from base 1 to 46 matches the Rfam family "Eukaryotic small subunit ribosomal RNA", at positions 1786 to 1831 of the family's 1831-position model. The record is from RNAcentral.
AAGUCGUAACAAGGUUUCCGUAGGUGAACCUGCGGAAGGAUCAUUAAUGAAAUUUAUGACUGGGGUUGUAGCUGGCCUUUAAAACGGCAUGUGCACGCCUCUUUCACUAAUCCACACACACCUGUGCACCUUUGCGGGGGUUCUUGGGGAAUCGACGCAAGUCGGUAGUACCUGGAGCUCGCGUCCCUUUACACACCCCUUUGUAUGUCCUAAGAAUGUCUACUCGAUGUAAUAAAACGCAUCUAAUACAACUUUCAACAACGGAUCUCUUGGCUCUC